CAAAUACUCCCUCCGUCCGGAAAUACUUGUCAGAUAAAUGGAUAAAAAUGGAUGUACCUAGAACUAAAAUACGUCUAGAUACAUCCAUUCCUCCGACAAGUAUUUCUGGAUGAGGGAGUAUGUA
Molecule: non-coding RNA, 124 nt
Organism: Triticum aestivum (bread wheat)
Lineage: Eukaryota; Viridiplantae; Streptophyta; Magnoliopsida; Poales; Poaceae
Source: Rfam